AAAUUGAAGAGUUUGAUCAUGGCUCAGAUUGAACGCUGGCGGCAGGCCUAACACAUGCAAGUCGAACGGUAACAGGAAGCAGCUUGCUGCUUCGCUGACGAGUGGCGGACGGGUGAGUAAUGUCUGGGAAACUGCCUGAUGGAGGGGGAUAACUACUGGAAACGGUGGCUAAUACCGCAUAACGUCGCAAGACCAAAGAGGGGGACCUUCGGGCCUCUUGCCAUCAGAUGUGCCCAGAUGGGAUUAGCUUGUUGGUGAGGUAACGGCUCACCAAGGCGACGAUCCCUAGCUGGUCUGAGAGGAUGACCAGCCACACUGGAACUGAGACACGGUCCAGACUCCUACGGGAGGCAGCAGU
Molecule: ribosomal RNA, 358 nt
Filed under: Salmonella enterica
Lineage: Bacteria; Pseudomonadati; Pseudomonadota; Gammaproteobacteria; Enterobacterales; Enterobacteriaceae
Also listed under: 1 other name
Description: bacterial SSU rRNA
Rfam family: Bacterial small subunit ribosomal RNA
Source: RNAcentral